GUUGAGCUGCGGGGCUCGUUAGGAGCCUAUUUCCCCUGGGCCGAUACCAACCGCUCGGGAGCUGUUCCUGGCCGGGGUCGUGGCCCCGGACACACGGCGCCCACCUACAUGUGUAGGGACCUGGCGGGAUACUCUGUGCUCCGACGGCCUUCGCGGCUCUGAA
This 163-nucleotide non-coding RNA is filed under the name Hyphomicrobiaceae bacterium TMED74. Its description in RNAcentral is "6S RNA". It matches the Rfam family "6S / SsrS RNA". From Rfam's summary of the family: E. coli 6S RNA was the first non coding RNA to be sequenced, but its function was unknown until recently. It consists of 184 nucleotides that fold into an extended hairpin structure with a large single-stranded internal bulge. RNAcentral also lists the same sequence under 1 other name. The record is from RNAcentral. Lineage: Bacteria; Pseudomonadati; Pseudomonadota; Alphaproteobacteria; Hyphomicrobiales; Hyphomicrobiaceae.